Molecule: transfer RNA, 74 nt
Filed under: Candidatus Woesearchaeota archaeon
Lineage: Archaea; Nanobdellati; Candidatus Woesearchaeota
Description: tRNA-Phe
Rfam family: tRNA
About the family: Transfer RNA (tRNA) molecules are approximately 80 nucleotides in length. Their secondary structure includes four short double-helical elements and three loops (D, anti-codon, and T loops).
Source: RNAcentral
GGGGUUAUAGCUCAGCCUGGGAGAGCACUACGCUGAAGACGUAGGUGUCCUGGAUUCAAAUUCCAGUAACCCCA